Molecule: ribosomal RNA, 497 nt
Filed under: uncultured bacterium
Lineage: Bacteria
Description: partial 16S ribosomal RNA
Rfam family: Bacterial small subunit ribosomal RNA
Source: RNAcentral
GACGAACGCUGGCGGCGUGCCUAAUACAUGCAAGUUGAGCGCUGAAGGUUGGUACUUGUACCAACUGGAUGAGCAGCGAACGGGUGAGUAACGCGUGGGGAAUCUGCCUUUGAGCGGGGGACAACAUUUGGAAACGAAUGCUAAUACCGCAUAAAAACUUUAAACACAAGUUUUAAGUUUGAAAGAUGCAAUUGCAUCACUCAAAGAUGAUCCCGCGUUGUAUUAGCUAGUUGGUGGGGUAAAGGCUCACCAAGGCGAUGAUACAUAGCCGACCUGAGAGGGUGAUCGGCCACAUUGGGACUGAGACACGGCCCAAACUCCUACGGGAGGCAGCAGUAGGGAAGCUUCGGCAAUGGACGAAAGUCUGACCGAGCAACGCCGCGUGAGUGAAGAAGGUUUUCGGAUCGUAAAACUCUGUUGGUAGAGAAGAACGUUGGUGAGAGUGGAAAGCUCAUCAAGUGACGGUAACUACCCAGAAAGGGACGGCUAACUACGUG